Long non-coding RNA from Aedes aegypti (yellow fever mosquito), 861 nucleotides. RefSeq lists it as uncharacterized. NCBI's taxonomy places the organism in Eukaryota, Metazoa, Arthropoda, Insecta, Diptera, Culicidae. The record is from RefSeq and is a predicted model, not a curated record. The transcript is spliced from 2 exons.
UAUAAUUUAUUUAUUUUCAUAUGGGUAGGGUAGGUGGGGCAAAGUGAGCACCCCAAUGAGCCAAGAUUAAUGGGGUAUUUUGGAGUACAGUGGGGUUCCGUUUUUGGCAACAAAGUCGAAAUUUUCGGAUGUCAAAAACGAACCUAUUUUUUCUAUUUUAUUUAAUAAUAAUUCUCGAAUACUUUUUCAAAUGGACGUAAGUCCAAAAAUGUGAACAAAUCUGAUUUUCAUUGCAAUCGACUACUAAAUAAGCAAUAAUUAUGGUAUUUUAAGAUUUUUUUUAAAAAAAUCGCUCAAUAAGAUUUUUAAAAUAAAAUUUGCAAACCGACUGAACAUACCAUUUCGUGCAUACACCCUUUUGGUUUCAAAUCGACGAAUCCAUCAAAUCAACUGACAGCAUAGAUUCGCUCGAACGAAAACAGCGAAUGUCAUGAAAAAAAAAUAAACAUUGUAGUGCACCGACUAUCGUCGUUCUGUCGCCGGCUAUUAUUUUUGUUAAUCUAAACAAAAAACAAGUGGAAAUUUGAGAUCUCAGUUUCGAAAUACCAUGGUUUUUUUGGAAGGACAUCAUGCAUUACCUGUUUUCACUUGUUGCAAACCUAAAAUAUUUAGGAUGGACGAGCUCAGCAAUGCCAACAGCUUGGGUGCCACCUCGCAGAAUCGCAAGAGAGAGUAGUUUUCAAGGAAAUGGAGUACUCUGAACCAGUGUUACUGAAGAGCUAGCAUGGUUUUCAAAACUACGCAGGUAUCAGGACAAGGAUCGAGUUUGACUGUUGUGGGCAACCCAAGAUAGGGGAAGAUGUUAAGUAUGUAAAAUUAUCCGAACUUAAGGGAAAAUAAUAAAACCCUAAAUUAUAUCAA